Molecule: transfer RNA, 82 nt
Filed under: Danio rerio (zebrafish)
Lineage: Eukaryota; Metazoa; Chordata; Actinopteri; Cypriniformes; Danionidae
Description: tRNA-Ser (TGA) (tRNA-Ser-TGA-83-1)
Rfam family: tRNA
About the family: Transfer RNA (tRNA) molecules are approximately 80 nucleotides in length. Their secondary structure includes four short double-helical elements and three loops (D, anti-codon, and T loops).
Source: Rfam by way of RNAcentral
GUAGUCGUGGCCGAGUGGUUAAGGUGAUAGACUUGAAAUCCUUUGGGGUCUCCCUGCGCAGGUUCGAAUCCUGCCGACUACG